Molecule: ribosomal RNA, 197 nt
Filed under: uncultured bacterium
Lineage: Bacteria
Also listed under: 1 other name
Description: partial 16S ribosomal RNA
Rfam family: Bacterial small subunit ribosomal RNA
Source: RNAcentral
ACUCCUACGGGAGGCAGCAGUGGGGAAUAUUGCACAAUGGGGGAAACCCUGAUGCAGCCAUGCCGCGUGUGUGAAGAAGGCCUUCGGGUUGUAAAGCACUUUCAGCGAGGAGGAAAGGUUGAUGCCUAAUACGUAUCAACUGUGACGUUACUCGCAGAAGAAGCACCGGCUAACUCCGUGCCAGCAGCCGCGGUAAU